GAAAGACCAGGCAGGGAAGAACACGUUGGGGAAGGCGGCAUGAACUCCAUCUCCAGAGCCAAGCUGAGAAUGCCCACAGAGCCCUGGCACAUACAAGCCAAUGCUGAGCCAAACAGCCCACAGACUUCUGAGUGAGCUUUUGCUGCAACAAAAAACUUUGGAUCAUUUCGAGAGCUUCCCGUGAGGCGCCAAUAUGCUGCAGUACCUUCCCAGCUCUGCUACUGAUAGGAUUCAUACCAGAUAAAGUAUGAACACGCUCAAGCUGGCUAGCAGCUGGAAAAACUGGAGUCAAUCAAAUUGACCUUGAGAAACACAAGAAGGUGGCAUUUAAUGAUGUGCCAGAUCGAGUCCCUGCCCAGAGAGGAGAUGGGACGACGAACACCCGUAAGGAAUUUACACUGGGAACCCACUGAAAGGAUUUCUUCUCAUGCACCCUGCUGCCUCUCCAGAUAGAAACUCGCUACCUAUCAAGCUUCCCCUGCCUGUCAGCAGAGCUAUUUUCAGCAGUGGUACAAUUUCACCACGCGGGAGCCAGGCUCAUCAAAUGAGAUAAUGCACAGAAAAGCUCUGAAGAGACGUAACUGUCGUUAAUAGAAGAUCUGGGGGAAAUCUGCAAAAACCAAAAGAACCAAAUGUUGCCCGUGCUGCUACCUUGGGACUCAAUCACCCUGGUCAGUGGCCAACUGCCAUCACAAAAAGCUGAAAUUCACCCAAAUGUGCCACAGCGGGAAAACGGUAUGUAUGCUGACAUCAGCAGAUCAAAACAAAGUAAGAAUAAAAUCACAUGGAAAGCUCUCAUACAAGCAUCUGCUUUGCCGCUGUUGCUUCUGGCAGCCCUGGACGUUGAAGGAAGGACACCCCCUGAAGCCAUCAACUUGUGACAGUCACUGCAGUUAAAUGCUGGCAGUUAAGAGGAUUAAUCAAGAGAAAUACAAAGACACAAGAAGAAUACGACUUUCAUUUUACUUAUAACCGGAGCUGCUGGAGAAGUAUGUUGACGUGCCCGAUGCGAGACACCACAGCAGUGCUGCGGAGCAGCCAGCUCGCACCGGCGUGCCCGGGUGCAUGUGCACACCUCCCCUGGCUCCUCACUGACAUCCCCUUGGUAGCCUGAAAGAAGCCACGGUGAAAGUAUGUGCACCAUGGAGAGAGACCUGGGCUCCCCGCCAGAGCUGGUGGUGGACCACUGACCGGCCCACCACUGUAACAGGCUCAGGGGGGAGAGGCCGAAGAGUUACACAGGAACUUAACAUCAAUGCCCAGUAGGGCAAAUCUGAAACACAGAAGACUGGCAGGUGUACAUGCAGCAGGUGGGGUGAAUGGACGCCCAGGCCCCAGAGAUACAAUUUUGAAGCGUUUUAAUCACCAACUCCUAAUUGUUCCCAAGAGGUAUUUAAGAAUGUAGUAGGGUAGCCCCAUAGGUUACCUAACUACAUACCUAGCCAAGUUACUCAACUUCAGAGCCUCAAUUUACCUAUCUGCAAAAUGGAAAUAAUCCUAGAACUGAUCUCUCAAGGAAACGCUAUGAAGGCAGGCAUCAAACGAGCUUUGAGCCGAGCUCUAAAAGAGACCUGCCCUCAAGAACCCACAAAGCGCCCCUGUGCGUGUAACGCUGACCCCUGUGCAGCAGCCCUGCGUCCAGCUGAACCCGGACACCCAGCCCCAUGCCUGGCCCAAGGAGCUGCCUAAGUGCAAUUAGGCGGGAUGAAUAAUUGCCUUCAGAAGUUGGGAAAUAUACUCAGAACAAUUUUUUUCUACCCUGAAAGAAUUAAAAAAAAAAAAAAAAGUCACCCCCAUGUUUCUGACUUU
Molecule: long non-coding RNA, 1809 nt
Organism: Canis lupus familiaris (dog)
Lineage: Eukaryota; Metazoa; Chordata; Mammalia; Carnivora; Canidae
Exons: 9
Source: RefSeq, a predicted model, not a curated record